This 448-nucleotide ribosomal RNA is filed under the name uncultured bacterium. RNAcentral's name for it is "partial 16S ribosomal RNA". It matches the Rfam family "Bacterial small subunit ribosomal RNA", at positions 329 to 794 of the family's 1533-position model. The record is from RNAcentral.
GACCAGACUCCUACGGGAGGCAGCAGUGGGGAAUAUUGCACAAUGGGGGAAACCCUGAUGCAGCGACGCCGCGUGAGUGAAGAAGUAUUUCGGUAUGUAAAGCUCUAUCAGCAGGGAAGAAAAUGACGGUACCUGACUAAGAAGCCCCGGCUAACUACGUGCCAGCAGCCGCGGUAAUACGUAGGGGGCAAGCGUUAUCCGGAUUUACUGGGUGUAAAGGGAGCGUAGACGGCAUGGCAAGUCAGAUGUGAAAGCCCGGGGCUCAACCCCGGGACUGCAUUUGAAACUGUCAGGCUGGAGUGCAGGAGAGGUAAGUGGAAUUCCUAGUGUAGCGGUGAAAUGCGUAGAUAUUAGGAGGAACACCAGUGGCGAAGGCGGCUUACUGGACUGUAACUGACGUUGGGGCUCGAAAGCGUGGGGAGCAAACAGGAUUAGAUACCCCCGUAUC